ACGUAGGUGGCAAGCGUUGUCCGGAUUUACUGGGUGUAAAGGGCGUGUAGGCGGGAUUGCAAGUCAGGCGUGAAAACCAGGGGCUCAACCUCUGGCCUGCGUUUGAAACUGUAGUUCUUGAGUACUGGAGAGGUUGACGGAAUUCCUAGUGUAGCGGUGAAAUGCGUAGAUAUUAGGAGGAACACCAGUGGCGAAGGCGGUCAACUGGACAGCAACUGACGCUGAGGCGCGAAAGCGUGGGGAGCAAACAG
This 251-nucleotide ribosomal RNA is filed under the name uncultured bacterium. RNAcentral's name for it is "partial 16S ribosomal RNA". It matches the Rfam family "Bacterial small subunit ribosomal RNA", at positions 525 to 775 of the family's 1533-position model. The record is from RNAcentral.